Long non-coding RNA from Leopardus geoffroyi (Geoffroy's cat), 603 nucleotides. RefSeq lists it as uncharacterized. Lineage: Eukaryota; Metazoa; Chordata; Mammalia; Carnivora; Felidae. The record is from RefSeq and is a predicted model, not a curated record. The transcript has 4 exons.
AGCGCGAGCGGCUUGUUUCAGACGUCUGCCCUUUUCCGUUCUGUCCGGAGGCUGGAAAGCAGACGCGGGAGCAAUGCCGCUUCCACUGUGUUCCGUGUGGACAGGAGUCUAGGGGAGUCAGCCACGGCCUGUCAGGGGCCUAGGCUUUCUGCGAGGCCUGCGCUCUCUGAACGGGACCGAGUGUCGCUCACGAUGGAAAUGCAACAAGGGCUCCUGACAAGUCCACGUGGCUCCUCUCGCCAGUGAGGCCGUGGACCACUGCAGCUGGAGGAAGAGGCCAUGGGCCCAGAAAUGCAGGCGCCUCCAGAAGCUGGAAAAGACAAGAAAACAGUCGUCCCCCGGGCCUCCAGAAGGAACACAGCCCAGCGACUCCAGUCUCAGCAGACGUCCAAAACUAGCCUCGGGAGCCCCGAGACACAAGGGUGCAGGACGAGGGAAGAGAGCGAUCGGCCGUCGGCCCCCCAGAGGCCCGCGUGAAACUGCCGAGCCAGCAGAGCCGCGCGUCGGACCCCUGGAACCGAGGUACGUCGACCCUUCGUCGGCAGUAGGCGGGCUUCGGACACGGGGUCCGGGGCCCACAUGGGUGGGGUCUCCGCGGCGAGA